Molecule: non-coding RNA, 145 nt
Organism: Podospora conica
Lineage: Eukaryota; Fungi; Ascomycota; Sordariomycetes; Sordariales; Podosporaceae
Source: the annotation of a GenBank genome assembly
GGGGGUGUAGCUCAGUGGCAGAGCGCACAGCGAACUCGCAACAGCGGUUGAUUUUUGAUUUGGCUUUUUCUUUUUCAGACCAACAUCAAUAUCGAGCGUUCAGCGAGAGAGCGAUUGGUCCUGGGUUCGAGUCCCAGAACCCCUA